Molecule: transfer RNA, 70 nt
Filed under: Platycephalus cultellatus
Lineage: Eukaryota; Metazoa; Chordata; Actinopteri; Perciformes; Platycephalidae
Description: tRNA-Cys
Source: RNAcentral
AGUUCCGAGGUGUAUACCGUCAUGUUAGAUUGCAAACCUUAAGAAGUAGAAUAGUUCUCUGCCGGGGCUU